AGAGUUUGAUCCUGGCUCAGGAUGAACGCUAGCGGCAGGCUUAACACAUGCAAGUCGAGGGGCAUCACGAGUAGCAAUACUUGGUGGCGACCGGCGCAAGGGUGCGUAACGCGUGAGCAACAUGCCCGUAUCAGGGGGAUAAUCCAGGGAAACUUGGUCUAAUACCCCAUAGCAAUUGAAGGAGGCAUCUUCUUUGAUUUAAAGCUUUGGUGGAUACGGAUUGGCUCGCGUGACAUUAGCUAGAUGGUAAGGUAACGGCUUACCAUGGCUACGAUGUCUAGGGGUUCUGAGAGGAAGGUCCCCCACACUGGAACUGAGACACGGUCCAGACUCCUACGGGAGGCAGCAGUGAGGAAUAUUGGACAAUGGAUGGAAAUCUGAUCCAGCCAUGCCGCGUGCAGGAAGACGGCCCUAUGGGUUGUAAACUGCUUUUAUAUGGGAGCAAUAAGACCUACGUGUAGGUCGAUGAGAGUACCAUAUGAAUAAGCACCGGCUAACUCCGUGCCAGCAGCCGCGGUAAUACGGAGGGUGCAAGCGUUAUCCGGAUUUAUUGGGUUUAAAGGGUGCGUAGGCGGUUUGAUAAGUCAGCGGUGAAAUAUUUCAGCUUAACUGGAAGGGUGCCGUUGAUACUGUCGAGCUUGAAUUUAGUUGCUGUGGGUGGAAUGUGUGGUGUAGCGGUGAAAUGCAUAGAUAUCACACAGAAUAUCGAUUGCGAAGGCAGCUCACAAAGCUAAUAUUGACGCUGAUGCACGAAAGUGUGGGGAUCAAACAGGAUUAGAUACCCUGGUAGUCCACACUGUAAACGAUGAUAACUCGCUGUCGGCGAUACACAGUCGGUGGCCAAGCGAAAGCGAUAAGUUAUCCACCUGGGGAGUACGACCGCAAGGUUGAAACUCAAAGGAAUUGACGG
RNAcentral lists this ribosomal RNA (910 nucleotides) under methanogenic prokaryote enrichment culture B31_2_43. Its description in RNAcentral is "bacterial SSU rRNA". It matches the Rfam family "Bacterial small subunit ribosomal RNA", at positions 8 to 916 of the family's 1533-position model. The record is from RNAcentral.